RNAcentral lists this ribosomal RNA (253 nucleotides) under uncultured bacterium. Its description in RNAcentral is "partial 16S ribosomal RNA". It matches the Rfam family "Bacterial small subunit ribosomal RNA", at positions 524 to 776 of the family's 1533-position model. The record is from RNAcentral.
UACGGAGGGUGCAAACGUUGCUCGGAAUUAUUGGGCGUAAAGCGCACGUAGGCGGCCGAAUGAGUCGGGUGUGAAAGCCCUGGGCUCAACCCAGGAAGUGCACUCGAAACUGCUCGGCUUGAGUAUGGAAGAGGGUUGCGGAAUUCCCGGUGUAGAGGUGAAAUUCGUAGAUAUCGGGAGGAACACCAGUGGCGAAGGCGGCAACCUGGGCCAAUACUGACGCUGAGGUGCGAAAGCGUGGGGAGCAAACAGG